This is a long non-coding RNA of Cyprinus carpio (common carp), 575 nucleotides long. RefSeq lists it as uncharacterized. The transcript has 4 exons. NCBI's taxonomy places the organism in Eukaryota, Metazoa, Chordata, Actinopteri, Cypriniformes, Cyprinidae. The record is from RefSeq and is a predicted model, not a curated record.
AGCCAUUAACAAAUAUAUAGUGAAGAAAUAGAUUAUACAUCAUAUCUGAAGCACUGUUAAAUAUAUUUAAAUAUAUUUUGAAAACACUUGAUGGGCGCGCGCUGAACUGGAGCGGAGGACGUCACCAUGGAAACGGGGCGGCAGCUCAACUGUCAAGCAGCUGAACGCUGUCUCUCAUGGUUGUUUUUACUAAUUUCAGAAAUGGUUUAUUGUCUUCAGAAAAAGUCCGUUAGCAUCUCAACCUUAAUGCUAACUACAAGAAAGACUGAAAAUCAUCGAUAAACCACAAGAGUUUAGCUCCAACCCCAAUUAAGCAGACCCUGAGCAGCUGAUCAAAGAUCACCAAAAACUCUGCAGAACGGUGGUCCUGCAUGCCCAGGACUGGACACCAGUGUUGUAAGUGUCAUGAGUCCGGACCCGGUGUUCCUCCCUGUCACCACCCAGAGGGCGCCACUUCCAUUCUCCCGGACUCAUUAACUUCACUCCGCUCAGCUGUGUCACCCACUCACACACUUACACUCACACCUGGACACUAGUUCGACACACCUGUCACAUACUCAUACACAGCUGUCCCC